RNAcentral lists this ribosomal RNA (2065 nucleotides) under human gut metagenome. Its description in RNAcentral is "bacterial LSU rRNA". It matches the Rfam family "Bacterial large subunit ribosomal RNA", at positions 494 to 2567 of the family's 2925-position model. The record is from RNAcentral.
ACCAGUACCGUGAGGGAAAGGUGAAAAGCACUUCGAACAGAAGAGUGAAAUAGUUCCUGAAACCGUGCGCCUACAAGCGGUCGGAGCUCAUUAAUGAGUGACGGCGUGCCUUUUGCAUAAUGAACCUACGAGUUGCCUUUGCCGGCAAGGUUAAGUGUGACGACACACGUAUCCGAAGCGAAAGCGAGUCUGAACAGGGCGUAUAGUCGGCAGUGGCAGACGCGAAACCAAGUGAUCUACCCUUGGCCAGGUUGAAGGCUGGGUAACACCAGCUGGAGGACCGCACCAAUAAGCGUUGAAAAGCUUCUGGAUGAGCUGAGGGUAGGGGUGAAAGGCUAAUCAAACUUGGAGAUAGCUCGUACUCCCCGAAAUGCAUUUAGGUGCAGCCUUGCGGGUUACUGAUGUGAGGUAGAGCGACUGAUAAGAUGCGAGGGCUUCACCGCCUAUCAAGUCUUGACAAACUCCGAAUGCGCAUCAGUUCUACCGCAGGAGUGAGGGCAUGGGUGCUAAGGUCCGUGCCCGAGAGGAGAAGAAUCCGGACCACCUGCUAAGGUCCCGAAAUGACAGCUAAGUUAAACUAACGAAGUCUGACUGCUAAGACAGCUAGGAUGUUGGCUUGGAAGCAGCCAUUCAUUUAAAGAGUGCGUAACAGCUCACUAGUCGAGGAGUCGGGCGUGGAUAAUAAUCGGGUAUCAAGUUGUCUACCGAAGCAGUGGGAUCAUUAAUAUGAUCGGUAGGGGAGCAUUCCAGUCGGCGUCGAAGGCGUACCGCGAGGUAUUCUGGAGCGUCUGGAAAAGCAAAUGUAGGUAUAAGUAACGAUAAAGGGGGCGGGAAACCCCCUCGCCGAAAGACUAAGGUUUCCUGAUCAACGCUAAUCGGAUCAGGGUCAGUCGGGUCCUAAGGCUCAGCCGAACGGCGAUGCCGAUGGCAGAAACGGUUAAUAUUCCGUUACUACCUUCAGGAGUGACGUGGAGACGCAGUAGUGACAGUGCCGCCAUCUGACGGAAUAGAUGGUUGAAGGGUGUAGGAGUCGAUCAUGGCAGGCAAAUCCACCAUGAGAUCCGAACCUGAGAGUAUGCCGCGUCCUUCGGGACAAGGCAAUAGUGCGCGUAAGCAUGCUGCCGAGAAAAUCCGCUAAACUUAAUCCUGCAGGUACCCGUACCGCAAACGGACACACGUAGUCGGGAUGAAUAUUCUAAGGCGCUUGAGUGAUUCACGGUUAAGGAACUAGGCAAACUGACCCUGUAACUUCGGGAUAAAGGGUCCCUACCCUUUUAUGGGAGGGCGCAGAGAAUCGGUCCAGGCAACUGUUUAACAAAAACACAGGGCUGUGCCAAAUCGAAAGAUCCAGUAUACAGCCUGACACCUGCCCGGUGCUGGAAGGUUAAGAGGAGAUGUCAUCGAUAAGAGAAGCGUUGAAUUGAAGCCCCAGUAAACGGCGGCCGUAACUAUAACGGUCCUAAGGUAGCGAAAUUCCUUGUCGGGUAAGUUCCGACCUGCACGAAUGGUGUAAUGAUCUGGACGCUGUCUCAACCGUGAGCUCAGUGAAAUUGUAGUAUCGGUGAAGAUGCCGAUUACCCGCGAUGGGACGAAAAGACCCCGUGAACCUUUACUAUAGCUUAUCAUUGAAUCUGGGCACGUGAUGUGUAGGAUAGGUCGGAGGCUUUGAAGCAGGUACGCCAGUAUUUGUGGAGCCGCUGUUGAAAUACGACCCUUUAUUUGUUUGGAUUCUAACCCGUGGAACGGGGACAUUGAUUGGUGGGUAGUUUGACUGGGGUGGUCGCCUCCAAAAGCGUAACGGAGGCUUCUAAAGGUGCCCUCCGGCCGAUUGGUAACCGGCCUUAGAGUGUAAUGGCAUAAGGGCGCUUGACUGGGAGACUAACAAGUCGAUCAGGUAGGAAACUAGAGCAUAGUGAUCCGGUGUUUCCGUAUGGAAGGGACAUCGCUCAAAGGAUAAAAGGUACUCCGGGGAUAACAGGCUGAUCCCUCCCAAGAGCUCAUAUCGACGGAGUGGUUUGGCACCUCGAUGUCGGCUCGUCACAUCCUGGGGCUGGAGAAGGUCCCA